Molecule: long non-coding RNA, 216 nt
Filed under: Nicotiana benthamiana
Lineage: Eukaryota; Viridiplantae; Streptophyta; Magnoliopsida; Solanales; Solanaceae
Description: long non-coding RNA (NBEN_LNC000561)
Source: RNAcentral
UUCAACCUGGACACUCCACUAAAAUUUUACAGCUAACCAAUAUCUUUAUAAAGACUGCAAAUUCUACACAGUUUCUCACCACUUUCUGUUCACAACUUAUUGCUAUUCUAAAGAGAAGAAAAUAUGGGUCUGAAAGGUAAGUUGAUUGCUUCAUUAAUACUCAUCAUAUACCCAACAUAAGCCCUAGUAAGAUUAAUCAUUUUGAGAUUCAUGAAG